This is a long non-coding RNA of Loxodonta africana (African savanna elephant), 8781 nucleotides long. RefSeq lists it as uncharacterized. The transcript is spliced from 4 exons. The record is from RefSeq and is a predicted model, not a curated record. NCBI's taxonomy places the organism in Eukaryota, Metazoa, Chordata, Mammalia, Proboscidea, Elephantidae.
GCAGCGAGAAACAGGCCUGGAGAUGGCGCUUCUGGGUCGGCGUGAGGUACCGGGACGGGGGCGGCCGGAUCCCCCAGGCCUGGGGCUACCCCUCCCCCACAUCCCCUUUCCCCCUUACCGACCUCUCCGGGCGGUGGGGGAAAGGGAAAGGCGAGGAAGGCUCGGCUGGGUUGUCGCCCCGCUUCCCGGGCGGGCGGGGCCCCGGAGGGGAGCGAGGGCCGAGAAGGAGCCGAAUUUGAACCGGAUCUCUCGGUAAACAGAGAUCACCACCGGGGCCUGAGCCACCUGGGACGCAGGGGGUACGGAGGGCGGGGGCGAGCGGAGACAGUCAGCCAAUCCGCCGAGCUGCGGGUGAGGCGAGAAGCUGAGUCCCACGGGCAUUGAAUUAUCCACACACACCCCCAACCCCCGGGAAGGGAGCCGGGCGGGGUGAAUGCCGCCCCGCCCCGCCCCGCUGACGCCCACGCACCUGCCGGCUCCUGCGCACGGCUGGGACCAGUGGACUGCAGUCCCGGGCGAGGCCAGGGGCCGUAGGCAAGGCAUGGAAAUAGCGCCCCACGGCCUGAGAAGCUGAGGGUUUGUGUUCCUAGGGGACGCAGCUGAGGACCAGGUAAGUCUCGGAUAUCAAAGCGCAGACCUCCACUGAGUGCCUGCUCUCUGCUCAAAUAACAUGACCUCAAGAACAAAGAGGAGGAGGAACCCCUCACUAUGAGGACUUGUGAUGUGCCAGGCACAUAUUUUUUAUAUGUUAUCUUUUAAACAUGUUAAGGAGCCCUGAUGGCGCAGUGGUUAAAGCCAUCUACUGCUAACCGAAAGGUCGGCGGUUGGAAACCACCAGACGCUCCGCGGGAGAAAGAUGUGGCUAUCUCCUUCCGUAGAGAUUUACAGUCUUGGAAAUGGGAUCGCUAUGAGUCCAGUCGACUGACGGCAGUGGGUUUAGUUUUGGUUUUAAACAUGUUAUCUUUUCAUCUUCACAAUAACUCUAUGAAGACGGUGCCAUCUCCGUUUUAAGGAUGAAGUAACUAAGGCCCAGAGAGGUUAGGUGAUUUACCCAAAGCCACCCAGCUAAAAACUGGUAGAAAUAUUCGAACUUGGGUCAGUUCAACUGCAGGACCACACAGGGAGAACACACCUGGGACUGACAUUGAAUUUGCUAUAGUUGAGAGAAGUGGUCUGGAGAUGGCUUGAUAGGAAACUGCUCUAAAAUGGGCAAAGCUUUUGCAGGGCUUGGGAUUCUAAGAAAGGGGUCACUGGGAGUAGAAAAGGAUUCCUUUUACGGUGCAGACAGUUAAGAGCUGACUGCUAACUGAAAGCUUGGAGGUUUGAGUCCACCCGUAAGUGCCUCAGAAGAAAGGCCUGUCAGUCUACAUCUGGAAAAUCAACUCCAGGGAGCACAGUUCUACUGUGACACACUUGGGGCUGCCAUAAGUCAGAAUCAACUCCAAGGCAACGGAUUGGGUUUUAUUGGUUUGGGGGAGAAAAGAUCCUUUCGAUCAGAAUCUCUAAAGAUUUUUGAAACAGAUUUUCAAGAGAAUUGAACCCAGAUAUUGAUUUCUUGAAAAACUUUAGAAAAAAGGAUCCUUUUUAUAGGUUAAUGUUAUGAGUCGGAAUCAACUUGACCGCAACAGGUUCGAUCUGGUUUAUUGCUCCAGCUAUUUAAAUCAAGAGGUUUGGUCUUUGGUUUAAUUAUUAAACUAUCAUAAAAUUUAGCAACUCAAGGUUGGAGAUGUAUCAGUUGAGAACCACAUGAUGGCAGUGUUUCCUAAUUGUUGAGAAAGCAUCUUUGAGUAAAGAAAAAGUUUCUUCAGUGAGAAACUAAACCUAAAAGGCACAGCAUGACCUUUGAUGGUUUCCAUUGCCUAUUGGGGAAAAAAAAAAAAAAGAAAAGAAAUUUCUCUACUUGGUGUAUAAGGCCUUUCACAGUGAAAAGGAGACCAUGCUACCUUUCCAUUCCCUUUCCCUCCUCCCUUCUGGGCCCUCCCAUCAGCCAUUAGCUUCUCACCUGCUCCAGGAACCCACCAGGCUUUUUCUCACUCCUGAAUCAUUGCAUAUGCCAUGCUGUCUGCUUGAAAUGCCCAAGAUGGGGUACAGGAGCCCAUGAAAGCUUAAGGGCCUGCCACGUACACACUAAGAAAGUGGCCCCACCGGUUUCUCCAGCAAGGGAUAGUGUUUGUGAAAGGGCACCAGGAAGGUGGAGCCAGCAGGUUCUCAGCCACCCCAGAGUGCCAUUCUGGGAACUUCCUGAGAAGGCUGGUGGAGGACUCUGCUCCCAACUGAAUGAGGCCACUCAGAUGACUCCCUCUGGGCGGUGAAGUAGAAAUGUAGGGUGUCUUAGUUUCUUAGUGCUGCCAUAACAGAAAUAUCACAAGUGGGUGGUUUUCAAGAACAGGAAUUUAUUUUCUCACAGUUUAGGGAGCUAGAAGACUGAGUUAAGGGUGCCAGCUCUAAGGGAGGGCUCUCUCUGUCAGCUCUGGGGGAAAAUCCUUGUCUCAGCUUCUCUAAUGUUCUUGGCAUUUCUUGGAGAUCUCCACAUGGCAUCUAUCUUUCCGCAUUUAUCCUUGCUUUCUCUGUGCCUAAUCUGAUCUUUUAUAUCCCAAAAAGUAUUUUGUCUAAGACACCCUACACGACAUGGUCUCGUUAACAUAACAAAGAUAUCCCUGUUCCCAAACCAAAACCAAACCCAGUGCCAUCGAUUCCGAGUCGAUAACGACUCAUAGCGACCCUGUAUGAGUCCCUAUACCCAGAUGAGAUUAAAUCCACAGGUAUCCAUUAAAAAAAAAAAAUUGCCUCCAUUCUGACUUAUAGCAACCCAGACCGCCCCAUAGGGUUUCCAAGGGACAGCUGGUAGAUUCAAACUACUGACCUUUAGGAUAGCAGCUGAGUUCUUAACCACUGCAUCACCAGGGCUCCAUCCACAGGUAUAGGGGUUAGAAUUUACAGGACACAGUUUUAGGGGACACAGUUCAAUCCAACACACAGAGCAAAUAAGAGACUGGUCCCUCUGGGUCUGGAAGUUGUCCCAAAUGAUGCCGAGUACUUUUUGAGGAUACGUAUCACCUUUUCUUAUGAAUCCAGAAAGGCUUCCCAGAGCCUGGGACUGGAGUGAUUGGUUGUGAAAGGGCACAUUUCUCUUCUACCUCAUGUUCCCUAUUUUCUUAGCCAAAAUUACCAUUACUAUACAUCUUUUUGGAAACCCUGGUGGCAUAGUGGUUAAAAUCUAUGGCUGCUAACCAAGAGGUCAGCAGUUUGAAUCCAUCAGGUGCUCUAUGGAAUUCCUUUGGGGCAGUUCUACUCUGUCCUAUAGGGCUGCUAUGACUUGAAGGCAACAGGUUUGGUUUGGUUUUUUUACAUCUUUUGCUGGAACCCUCCUGGUGCAAUGGUUGAGUGCUCAGCUGCUAGCCGAAAGGUUGGUGGCUUGAACCCACCAGCAGCUUCAAGAAAGAGAAGACCUGGUGGUCUGUUCUCACCAAGAUUGCAGCCUAGGAAACCCUAUGGAGCAAUUCUACUCUGUCCUAUAGGGUCACUAUGAGUUGGAAUCGACUUGAUGGCACACAACAAUACAUCUUUUGGAGUCCCUAGGUGGUGCAAAGGGUUGAGCACUCCACUGCUAACCAAAAGGAAGCCCUGGUGGCAUAGUGGUUAAGUGUUAUGGCUGCUAACCAAAAGGUCAGCAGUUCAAAUCCACCAGGUGCUCCUUGGAUACUCUAUGAGGCAGCUCUACUCUGUCCUACAGGGUCGCUAUGAGUCAGAAUCAACCUGAUGGCAACGGGUUUGGUUUUGGUUAACCAAAAGGUUUAUGGUUCAAGUCAACAGGAGAAAGACUCGGCAACCUACUUCCAAAAAAUCAGUAAUCGCAUGUCUACGAACUAGGCCUACAGAAGUGAACAGAGACAAAAAAAGCCCUGCCUUUGUAGAGCUUAUGUUUUAGUGGGUGACAGAUAAUAAACAAAAUGGAUUAGUAAAAUAUGUAUCAUGUCACAUGGUGAGAAGUAAGUGCUGUGGGGAAAAAAGGCCCACUUUAGGGACGUGAGAUAGCAUCAGUUCUUAAUAGGGUGUCAAGAAAGGUCUGACUGGAAAGUGAUACCUGAGCAAGAGUUGAAGAAGGGGAGGAGCUCUGGGAGGAAGAGCGCUCCAGGCAGACGGCACAGCAGGUGCAAAGCCCUGUGAUGGGAGAUCUGGCGUGUGCAAGGAUCAUCAACUUGCUGUCCUAUAAAGGAGUGAGCUCGUUGGGAGAGGAGCAGGCCAUCCCUGCCUCCAAGUAGCGGUUAAGUGUUAACCAAAGUUUCCUCUAACACUGUGGAAAACAAGUGAUACUGAUCCAAGCCUGUCAAAUAAGAUGAAGGAUGGCGCCAGCUACCCCCUGGGCUGAUGGGAUAAUGGCAGGAAAAGAUCAACAUGUUUGAGAUAGGACCACUGAAACCAAACAGAAGAAAGAGAGUGCACAUUCCACAAGUCCCUAAAACUUAUGGCCCAUUUUCCCUUAAAAACCCGAGCCAAUCGGUAGUCUGGUGAGACGAGAUCGUUCCCCUCUGUCUCCAUUUACCCGUAUAUCUAAUAAAGCUCUUGCUACCCACCUCACCCCUGUCAGAAGAAUUGGCUAUUUGCGGCAGGCGGCUCUAAGUCGCGAAAUUGGGGUAACAGUUUGGUGGCCCUUACGGGGACUCCAGCCGUUUGAGACGCCGUGGCCCCGCGGCAGGGCCAGGGCCCGAUCGACAGUUCUCCUACCAAGCGGCCGCUCGGGACUCUGUCCCCGGAGGCUGUCCCCAGACCCGGGCUCCCCUGCAGCGCCACCGGUCCCCAACCGCGCCAAAGAGAUGGGUGAAGGCAAGACCUAACCAGGAUCCUGAGACACGACUCCAGCAACACGCUUGAUUGCUUCCCACUUUUGCUGUUUUAAAAAAUACGAACCAGUAAAAAGACUGAAGUGGCUAUUGAAGAGACAAAACAAAGACCGAGAUGGGUCCAACUUCUCAUGAUCCCAUCCAGUAUUGAGGAUGGUGACAAGAAGUGGCAGCACCGAGAAGGCUCAGUGGAUGGCAGUGUAGCCCGUCAUAACAUCCCCAGAAGGAAGGGAAGGUCAUCGGCUGAGUCACAAGCCCUUCAGACGAGCACGAGCAGCGCACACAUUGGCAGCACAAAUCAUCUGUUAGUUGUUUCCAGCUGCAGGUAAGAGAUUCUACUGAACUUGGCUUAACCGAUAAGGAAAUACAUUUUAUCAUUUAUCAAGAAAACUAGAAGUAGGAGUACUCCAAAGACCGAACAAUCCAUGCUCAGCAACAUCAUCAAGAAAUCGAGUUUUCCCAUAUUUCCCGUCUGUCAUCCUCAGUGUUGCAGCUUUUUCCUCUUCAGGUGGCAACAAGGCUGUAGCCAUUUCAGAUACGGCAUCCAGAUAUAACAACGUAUAGCAGAAAAGGAGCACAUCUCUUGCAGCGUGGCCCCCUUUGCAGUAAGGAAAUCUUUUCCUGCAGCCCCCAGCAGUGAGCUCCUCACCCACGGCCAGAACUGGACCACAAGCCCCUGAUUAAGCCAUUCGCUCACAAGGGGGGUGGAACCACAUGAUUGACUACUCCUACCAGGCUCUGCUUCCGGGACUGGGGCUGGAGAUGGCUCAGCUGAAGCACGUCACUAUCUGGAGUGGGUUGGAUUGCUAAACAUCAUUUAGGGUCCACUAGGAAGGAGAAGUCCCUGGGUGAUACAGAUGGUUAAAUUCCGAACGACUAAUUAAAAGGUUGGCAGUUCAAACCCACACAGAGGUGCCUCGAAAGUAAGGCCUGAUGAUAUGCUCCUGAAAGGUCACAGCCUUGAAAAGCCUGUGGAGAAGGUCUGCUCUGCUUUCUUGAGGUCACCGUGAGUUGGAAUUAACUCGACGGCAACUAACAACAACCACCACAACCGAAAGGAGAAGGGUCCCUGGAUGGCGCAGAUGGUUUGCUCUCAUCUACUAAUCUAGUGGUUAGCAGUUCAAACCCACCCAGUGGUGCUUUGAAACAAAGUCCUGGCAAUCUGCUUCCAUAGAGACUACUGCCAAGAAAACCCUAUGGAGUAUUCUACUCCGUAACACACGGGCUUGCCAUGAAUAAGAAUCCACUCAACAGCAAUGGGUUUAGGAAAGAAGGAAAAGGUAGAACCAAUGUUGUGUAGGAAACCAGAGUCUUGGCUAAGCCACCUAUGAACUGCCCACUGGUGCCCGAAUGGACUUGGAGGUUGGAACACAGAAGGUUAUUCUGGAGGGCCCAUAACUGGGACGCUCAUUUUUUGUUGUUAUUGUUCAUUACUAUUAAUGUGAUUUGUUCUGAUUUUUACCACCAAUUCACCCACCACCACCACCACCACCACACACACACACACACACACACACACGGUGCAGGAAGAACCACCUACGGUAUUGUAGAAAACCUGGCAUAAUAAGGUCUGCAAUGAAGUGGGCAUCAACAUAACAGCAAUAAGUAAAUGCAUGUGUCUCCCCUGCAGUCUGGAUAACCACAGCUUCAUCGUAACUAGUCUCCCUGCUUCAGCUGGCCCCAUGCAAUCCAUUGUCCUUACUGCAGCCAGAGCGAUUUUUUCCAAUUUAAAUUUAAUCUGACCCACAAAAACUGCCCUCAGGACCAAGCCCAGACUCCUUAGCCAGGAGCACCAGGCCCUUUAUGAUCUGAUCAAGCCUGAAAAUCAAGUCUUCAAAUUUCUCUCUUGUAUCCUCAGCUCCAGCCCCACUAGAGGAGUAAAUGACUGAAGUUUGAAUAGACAGGACAUGGCUAGAACUUGGCUGUAGCAUCACACCAGUAAAUUCUGAGAAGGCAUUGGAUGAGCUUCAGCAGUCAUUUUCUAAUUUAAUAAAAAUUAUAAUGGGAAUAUAAGGAAACUUUUUAAGGUUAAUAAAGGCUAUUUCUCAAAAAAGGCAAAUAUUUUUUAAAAUAAUAUUGUGCUUUCAGUGAAAAUUUACACAGCAAAUUAGGUUCCCGUUUGACAAUUUCUACACAAAUUAUUCAGUGACAUUAGCUACAUUUUUCACAAUGUGUCAACGUUCUCUUUAGUUUCGUUCUGGUUGUUCAAUUUCCAUUACUCUUUUUCCCUGCCCUCUUAUCUUCUCAUCUUUGCUUUAGAGUACUUGUUGACCUUUGGUCUCAUAUAGAUGGUUUUUUAAUAGAGCACCGUGUGCACAGGUAAUAUUCUUUAUUUUGUGUGCCAGUCUGUUUUGUCACUAAAAGGUGACCUCAGAGGAUAAUUUUGGAUCAAGGUUUUAAAGAGUAUCUCAGGGGAAUUUUUUUUUUUUUUUUUUUCAGGGGAAUAGUCUCAGGAAGCUCUCCAGUCACAACUGGUCCAGUAAAUCUGGACUUGUUAAGAAUCUGAGUUCUGUUCCACAUUUUUAUAUCAGGGUCCAUCCAUUGUGGACCUGAUCAGAAUGGUUGGCAGUGAUAGCCGGGCACCAUCUGGUUCUUCUGGUCUCAGCGUAGAUGAGGACAUGGCUUGUGUAGGCUCUUAGCCCUGUAGAUUAAUUUCUUCUUUGAGACUUUGGUUUCCUUCAUUUACUCCUGGUAACUAGAGGCCAAUAGUUGUGUAACCUGACCCUUUGAAUGCCAGUAAAUAUCCCUUUGUCCUUAAACUACCCCAAGCUAGAUUUGACCUGUCCUGAAUGCGCAGAAGGGCCUGCUGUGACCGAUAAUUGACCUCAACAGAGGAAGCAGCAACAGGUGGAAUGAAUCAGAAGAAAAACCAUCACUUGGACCCUAUUCCAAAGUGAGAGGUCUGACGAGAACCACAUCACUUCCUGUUUCCUGGCCGCCUUCUAGAAUUUGCCCUCUCUAUUUCUUUUUUUUUUUUUUAUUUCUUUAGUGUUGGGUUAGUAUGUCUGCUUGGCCACCCUCUUGCCCAAAUCACAUAUAAGCCCUGUUUCCCCCAUAGCUCGGGGAGUAGGAACUGAGGAACUUCCUCCCAGCUCCUUGCUCUGCACAUUGCAAUAAAGUUACUUUCUCUUUCUCAAAGACCAGUGUCCAGAUUAUUGGAAAGUCUGAACGCCAGACAAGGACCCACCUUCUAGGGUUCGGUAACAGUUGUAUCUUAGAUGGCUGCUCAAAAGCUUUUGAGACCCCAGGCGCUACUCACCUUAUUAGGGAAAGGCAAAUAAACAGAAAAAAAACUAAAUCUAUUUCAUUAAAAAGAGUAAACAGGGAUGCCCACUGUCACCAUUAUUAAUAUUGUCUAGAGGUUCUAGUAAGUACAAAAAAACAAUGUAAAAAGAUACAAGAGGCUCUAGUUUUAAAAAUUAUCAGAAUUAAUAAGAAAAUUUGGCAUUAACUUCCAUUUCUACCAAUGUUGUUAUUGCUAGGUGUUACCAAAUCAGCCCAGUCUCAGGCUGACCCCAUGCACAACAGAAGAAAACGCUGCCUGAUCUGUUGUGAUCCAUAGAAUUUUCAUUGGCUGAUUUUCAGAAGUAGAUUGCCAGGCCUUUCUUUCUACUCCAUCUUAGUCUGGAAGGUCUGCUGAAACCUGUUCAGCGUCAUAACAACAUGCAAAACUACCACUGAUAGAUGGGUGGUAUCUACACAUGAGAUACAUUGGCUGAAAUGAAACCUGGUGUCCCACAUGGAAGGCAAGAAUGCUACCACCAAACCACCACUGCCCCUGAUUUCCUGAAGAGCCCUUCUAACGUAGGACUCUGAUGGGGGCUCAAACACUGUAAAAAUGGUGUGGGGGCAGAGUCUGACCUCCUUUAACUUCACAAGGGGAAGAAGAAUCAAGAUCAACAGCAUAAGGCUGAUUGCUAUGAGGCGGAGGUCAGACAUG